Scytonema millei VB511283 is the source of this 228-nucleotide non-coding RNA. Lineage: Bacteria; Bacillati; Cyanobacteriota; Cyanophyceae; Nostocales; Scytonemataceae. The record is from Rfam.
GUCAACACCCCUGGCUGGCGGCUCGGGGCUUCUAGCCUCAAACCGAUAGGAUUAGUUGACCCGACACGCGUACCUUGAGUACUACGUUAUUGGUAAGCGUUUAAGUUCCUACCUACGGAUGCGCAGCCAGUCUGUAGCUCUAGAAAUCAAGGAUUAAACAGGUUUAGAGGGUUAAGCCAGUGUCUUUGAUAUAGUACCGACCAAUAACAAAGUCUCGGCUAACAUUAC